ACGGAAAAGCGGUACUGUGGGCGAUACCGAGAUUCCUCGAUGGUAUGCGGUCGUUAUCGUCACCAGGAUAUAGGGAAUAAGUGGUGAAAUUUGACGAGCUGUGUCGAUAGGAUUGUCUUUGUUCGGGGAACGGAAAAGCGGUACUGUGGACGAUACCGAGAUUCCUCGAUGGUAUGCGGUCGUUAUCGUCACCAGGAUAUAGGUACGAAAAGGGAGCCGGUUCUCCAAACUUAUUUAUCUGCAUGUGGGACCAAAAUUAGAAAUAACAUUCAGUUUAAAAUGUGGCUGAAAAGUUCAGGUUGAAACGCACAUAAUAUGUAUAAAAUAUAAAGAUAGCAAACUUAUAUAAGUACAAUCACGCAUUAUGUACAAACACGCACACACACACACACACACACACACACACACACACACACACACACACACACACACACACACACACACACACACACACACACACACACA
This is a long non-coding RNA of Hypanus sabinus (Atlantic stingray), 465 nucleotides long. RefSeq lists it as uncharacterized. NCBI's taxonomy places the organism in Eukaryota, Metazoa, Chordata, Chondrichthyes, Myliobatiformes, Dasyatidae. The transcript has 2 exons. The record is from RefSeq and is a predicted model, not a curated record.